UUAUUUUGUCCUGAGAAUAUCUGACAGCCACAAGAAAGUGAAGCAGAAGGCGCUGGACGUGCUGGCAGAAAUCAUAGGCCUCCUGGAAGAUGCCCUGGGCCCGGUGAUCAUCCGUUUGGUGGAAGGAAUAACAAAGAACCUGAACUCAAAGGAUCCCGGGGUUCAUGCUGCAGCUGUGAAAGCACUGGAAGGAUCCAUUGCUCAUUUAGAUAAAGUAUCACUGAUGAAAGAGUUCAGCCACUAAUGGAGUCAACUGAGUGGCCAAGCUCUGCUGGAUGUCACAGAGCGUAUCACAGAGCUUGUGGAAUGGGUUUAUGCCAGGAGUCCUGAAGUCGUCCAGCGCUACGCCCUGCCCGUGCUCUGGUCCUUCCUGGAGAACAAGGCGCUGCCUGUCUGAAGCGCCAACGUCUGCACGGUGGCCACCAAGCUUGCCAAUGCCCUCUAUGAGGUGAUGGGCACCAAGCUGAUGAAGUGUGCAGCCAGCAAGCCUCCACACGUGCAGCAGAACCUCUCCAACAUUUUGGGCUGGUGAAGGCAGGAUAUUCUCCAGAAAGCUGACCAAGUGCUGAGUUGGACACCUCCGGAUUUGACUUCUUAGCUGUGCCAAAAAUGACAAAACACUAAGGAAGGGUGUGCUUCGGCCCCCGCUCGCUCCAUCGCCCUUCCUAGUCGUGGCAUGGGGGGCCUGAAGCAACUCCAGACUGAGGACAAGGUGAAGGCCAAGCGUGGCUCAGCCUCACACUGAGAUCUGACUGGCUACAGUCGUACCAAGAAGCUGCCGCCUGCCUGAAGAGUGUUUGAAGAAUAGGAUUUAUGCGCUAGUUUUCAUAGUUACAGAUGUACAUAUGUUCUGACCUUUAGAUGUAGUUUUGAAUAAAUGUGUUUUGAUUGUAUCUUUAAAUUUU
This is a long non-coding RNA of Vidua macroura (Pin-tailed whydah), 905 nucleotides long. RefSeq lists it as uncharacterized. The record is from RefSeq and is a predicted model, not a curated record. The transcript is spliced from 4 exons. NCBI's taxonomy places the organism in Eukaryota, Metazoa, Chordata, Aves, Passeriformes, Viduidae.